UACAGAGGGUGCAAGCGUUGUUCGGAAUUAUUGGGCGUAAAGGGCGCGUAGGCGGUCAGGCAAGUCUGCUGUGAAAUCUUCGGGCUCAACUCGAAGAAUGCAGCGGAAACUGCCUGGCUUGAGUGUGGGAGAGGUGAGUGGAAUUGCCGGUGUAGCGGUGACAUGCGUAGAUAUCGGCAGGAACACCCGUGGCGAAAGCGGCUCACUAGACCACAACUGACGCUGAGGCGCGAAAGCUAGGGGAG
Molecule: ribosomal RNA, 245 nt
Filed under: uncultured bacterium
Lineage: Bacteria
Description: partial 16S ribosomal RNA
Rfam family: Bacterial small subunit ribosomal RNA
Source: RNAcentral